Molecule: non-coding RNA, 78 nt
Organism: Schistosoma mattheei
Lineage: Eukaryota; Metazoa; Platyhelminthes; Trematoda; Strigeidida; Schistosomatidae
Source: Rfam
AGCUUUUCGAAUCUGUGCUGAGAUUUCGUCAGACACCAACCUAUUAGGGUUGAUCGUACUUCCGAGAUAAGUGAAGUU